Long non-coding RNA from Ochotona curzoniae (black-lipped pika), 99 nucleotides. RefSeq lists it as uncharacterized. The transcript is spliced from 3 exons. Lineage: Eukaryota; Metazoa; Chordata; Mammalia; Lagomorpha; Ochotonidae. The record is from RefSeq and is a predicted model, not a curated record.
GAGAGAGAGAGAGAAAAAGAGAGAGAGAGAGAGAUCUUCCAUCUCUGUUACACUUCCCCAACACCCACAAGCUAAAGCUGAGCCAGGGUGAAGCCAGGA